UAGUAACGGCGAGUGAAGCGGGAAGAGCUCAAAUUUGAAAUCUGGUGGCCUCAGGUCAUCCGAGUUGUAAUCUAUAGAAGUGUUUUCCGUGCUGGCUCAUGUACAAGUCCCUUGGAACAGGGCGUCAUAGAGGGUGAGAAUCCCGUCCUUGACAUGAACUACCAGUGCUCUGUGAUACAUUUUCAACGAGUCGAGUUGUUUGGGAAUGCAGCUCAAAAUGGGUGGUAAAUUCCAUCUAAAGCUAAAUAUUGGCGAGAGACCGAUAGCGAACAAGUACCGUGAGGGAAAGAUGAAAAGCACUUUGGAAAGAGAGUUAAACAGUAUGUGAAAUUGUUGAAAGGGAAACGAUUGAAGUCAGUCGUGCUCUUUGGAUUCAGCCGGUUCUGCCGGUGUACUUCCUUUGAGUGGGGUCAACAUCAGUUUUGAUCGCUGGAUAAAGGCUGGAGGAACGUAGUACCCUUGGGUAAACUUAUAGCCUCCUGUCACAUACAGUGGUUGGGACUGAGGAACGCAGCACGCCUUUAUGGCCGGGAUUCGUCCACGUACGUGCUUAGGAUGUUGACAUAAUGGCUUUAAACGACCCGUCUUG
RNAcentral lists this ribosomal RNA (589 nucleotides) under Filobasidium magnum. RNAcentral's name for it is "eukaryotic LSU rRNA". It matches the Rfam family "Eukaryotic large subunit ribosomal RNA", at positions 81 to 656 of the family's 3401-position model. The record is from RNAcentral. Lineage: Eukaryota; Fungi; Basidiomycota; Tremellomycetes; Filobasidiales; Filobasidiaceae.